UCCCUAUGGGGUGCAGCAGGCGCGAAAACUCCGCAAUACACGAAAGUGUGACGGGGGGACCCCAAGUGCUCUCGCGCAAGCGAGUGCUUUUGUGAAGUGUAAAUAGCUUCUUGAAUAAGAGCUGGGUAAGACCGGUGCCAGCCGCCGCGGUAACACCGGCAGCUCGAGUGGUAAUCGUUAUUAUUGGGCCUAAAGCGUCCGUAGCCUGUUUGAUAAGUCCUUGGGCAAAUCCUGCCGCUUAACGGUAGGAAUUCUGGGGAUACUGUCAGACUUGAGGCCGAGAGAGGUCGGAGGUACUUCUAGGGUAGCGGUGAAAUGCUAUAAUCCUAGGGGGACCACCAGUGGCGAAAGCGUCCGACCAGAGCGGGCCUGACGGUAAGGGACGAAAGCCAGGGGCGCGAACGGGAUUAGAUACCCCGGUAGUCCUGGCCGUAAACGCUGUGGGCUAGGUGUUGCAUGCUCUACGAGGGCGUGCAGUGCCGAAGAGAAGUUGAUAAGCCUACCGCCUGGGAAGUACUAUCGCAAGAUAGAAACUUAAAGGAAUUGGCGGGGGAGCACCACAAGGGGUGAAGUCUGCGGUUUAAUUGGAUUCAACGCCGGAAAUCUCACUGGAAGCGACGGCAGAAUGAUAGCCAAGCUGAUGACUUUGCUUGACGAGCCGAGAGGAGGUGCAUGGCCAA
RNAcentral lists this ribosomal RNA (680 nucleotides) under uncultured marine benthic group E euryarchaeote. RNAcentral describes it as "bacterial SSU rRNA". It matches the Rfam family "Archaeal small subunit ribosomal RNA", at positions 319 to 1001 of the family's 1478-position model. Lineage: Archaea; Methanobacteriati; Candidatus Hydrothermarchaeota. The record is from RNAcentral.